This 585-nucleotide ribosomal RNA is filed under the name uncultured Propionigenium sp. RNAcentral's name for it is "bacterial SSU rRNA". It matches the Rfam family "Bacterial small subunit ribosomal RNA", at positions 60 to 659 of the family's 1533-position model. Lineage: Bacteria; Fusobacteriati; Fusobacteriota; Fusobacteriia; Fusobacteriales; Fusobacteriaceae. The record is from RNAcentral.
AGUCGACUGGAAUUCACCUUCGGGUGAUAGUACGGUGGCGGACGGGUGAGUAACGCGUAAAGAACUUGCCCUCUAGACUGGGACAACUGUUGGAAACGACAGCUAAUACCGGAUAUUAUGAGAUUCUCGCAUGGGAAACUUAUGAAAGGCUAUAUGCGCUAGAGGAGAGCUUUGCGUGCCAUUAGGUAGUUGGUAGGGUAAUGGCCUACCAAGCCGACGAUGGCUAGCCGGCCUGAGAGGGUGAUCGGCCACAAGGGGACUGAGACACGGCCCUUACUCCUACGGGAGGCAGCAGUGGGGAAUAUUGGACAAUGGACCAAAAGUCUGAUCCAGCAAUUCUGUGUGCACGAUGAAGGUUUUCGGAUCGUAAAGUGCUUUCAGGUGGGAAGAAAAAAAUGACGGUACCACCAGAAGAAGCGACGGCUAAAUACGUGCCAGCAGCCGCGGUAAUACGUAUGUCGCAAGCGUUAUCCGGAAUUAUUGGGCGUAAAGCGCGUCUAGGCGGCCUUUUAAGUCUGAUGUGAAAAUGCGGGGCUCAACUCCGUAUUGCGUUGGAAACUGGAAGGCUAGAGUAGUUGAGGGGGA